AAGUGCAUUGAAAAAUGUUGCUUCCAUAAGAAGAAGAGAAGCACAUAAUAAUUAUAUGGCCAAGGCUACCACAAAUGAUAACAAUUCCCUUUUACACUUGGAGAACUUGACGCUCCCUUCGUUUCAGGUUGUAGUGAUAGCAGCAAAUAUGGGGUGCAAUGGGUGCAGAGGGAGAGUUUCCAGAGUUGUAUCUAAAAUGACUGGUUGACAGAGUACACAGUGGAUGUGCGCAAGAAAGAAGUAACUAUUAAGGGAGAUUUCAUAGCAAAUUGCAAUUUCCAGAAUGAAACCAUUAGCAGCAACACCCUGCAGAGUGCGAACGAUCCACCCAAGUCCCUGUCUACAUUUUUAACUCACUCUGACCAACAUUAAUCAAACAAAAGGUAUAUCCUAGUUACGAAGUUUAAAUUAUAAAGCUCACUCGUGCCGCAAAGAAACACAAGAGGCAGCCUAAGCACUCAAAUUUAUGCUACUUGAUACGAGAUUAAUUCAUUUGUUUUAUAGACCAGUUUAGCCAUUUUUUGUAUAGGGAAACAAAAUGCCUUAACUUAUUUUCCCUUAUAUCAUCACAUGCUCCUAAACACAACCAAUUAGAAACUUAAAAUAACAUUAAAACAACUUCUA
Molecule: long non-coding RNA, 624 nt
Organism: Glycine soja
Lineage: Eukaryota; Viridiplantae; Streptophyta; Magnoliopsida; Fabales; Fabaceae
Exons: 3
Source: RefSeq, a predicted model, not a curated record